Molecule: long non-coding RNA, 3195 nt
Organism: Mustela erminea (ermine)
Lineage: Eukaryota; Metazoa; Chordata; Mammalia; Carnivora; Mustelidae
Exons: 9
Source: RefSeq, a predicted model, not a curated record
GCGCCGGGGUGAUCCGGGGAGCUCUGUCCGCGGACCCUGAGCGCGGCCAGCGGAGAGCGGCGCGGCGCACGCCACCCGCCGCCGUGCGCCCUCAGAAUGCGCGGUCCGGCUCUCCGCAGCGCAGCGCAACUGCGUGAGGCGGGGAGACGCACUUCGGCCGGCGGCCGCCGGCGGGGCUCUCGCUUCUCCGCGGGGCCGGGCGGCCUCGGGGUCGUCCUGGAGGACCGCGCGCGCCCGAGAGGGGUGGACGGAGCGCGCCCGGGGCGUCCGCGCGCGUAGCCCCUGCGACGUGAGCUUGGCACCUUCUGGAGUCUGGAGCCUGGCCAGCGCCCCUCGGCUGAAGGGCCCGACCCGGCGGGGGAAAAGCCCGGACCCUCCCCCAGCUCGGGCGGACCUGUAACCCCGGGUCUGAGAUGACCAGGCCCGAGGGCUCUCCAAAUGGGCAGCUGCAGCUGCCAAUUUCAGGGGUCUCCAGAAACAGCCGGUGGGGCCACUGUGGUUUUUCUUCGUUUUUCUCUCCUUUCUAGAAGACCCGCUACGAUCCCGGGAGCGCAAAGACAAAACCAAGCAGACGCUUUAUUCUUGUUAUUUAUUGGCGAGAUCUCAGUGGACCCGUAAAGGAUGAAAAGGAGAGAGUUCGCCUACAUCGUGCCGCCACCGCAGCGUCUGCAGUUGGGUUCGCGGUCGGGGCGCCGAUGUGCGCGGGUUCACCUGCACACACCAGCUCACAGCCGUGGACGGCAUCUUGCGUGGAGGAGCUACCCCUCAAGGAGCUGCUUAAUGUUCUGGCCUGGGGGGGGGGGGGCGGUGUCUGGGGAGGCACCUGGGGCCGCAGAAACAUCUAGGAGCUGGGCAGAGCUCACGGAGAGUGGUUAUUCCGAAGACCUUGCCGUGAAUUGGCUCACCAGCUUUCUAAAUCCUGACACUGGCCGUCCCGGGGAAGCAAGGAGAAAGCAUCCUCUAAGGACCUUGGAAGCCAGAGCGCAGGCCGGGGUGCCCCAUGGUCUGGAAAGAAGUUUGCCGCGGGUCUCAAAAACCCACACCUAUUCCUCUCGCAGCCACGUGAAGGAACAUUCUGGGGACGGGUUCUCUGGAACAUGGCAACUGAUGGAAUCCCUGAAAAAUGCUUUCUUCCCUCCCCAGACUGAAGAAUGAAAGAGAGCCCCAGCUAGAGUUAUAGCCAUUUAAGAAACCAGAGCAGUCUUGCUUUUGUCUGCCCUGUGCCCUCACCCCUCCACCCCCCUCCCCCACCACCACCACCUCUCCCGGGCAUUCACAGUUACCAAAGCAAGAAAAGGGCUGUGUGAGUCACCUUGACAAAUGGGGAGCGUGACUGGGAGGUGAGGGCUGCUAACAUUUCUCUUUGUUCCAUUCUGUGGAAGCAUCCUGUCCCUCCUGAUACAUCAGUAAGCUAGGAUCAGACAGUGAGACUUUCUGCUGUCUAUGAAUAUAUUGAACAUGUAACAGGGGUCAGCUGCUAAGUGCUUUCUUAGAUUCUUACUUCAUACUCCCAAUAAUGCAUGAGGUAGUUCCUGUUAUCCAUGGUUUAGAAUCGAGAAAACUGAGGCUCCGACAGCUGCAAGAACUUGCCCAGGUGCCCUGGCUUCGAAGGGGCAGGAGCAGGACAGCAGUCAAUAUAAAUUGCCACCAGCCUGGUGACUCAACUCGGCAUGUUUCUCCCGAUCAGCAAAUGAAUGUGGGGGAAUCCAAACUGACAUCUUACAAGCAAGAAAACUUGAAGAAAUGAAGCAUCUUGGCAAGGUGGCAGUAGGAACCUGACUUCUUUUUUCCAUCAACAGUGCCCCCCCCCCCCAGAGAGAGAGCACUAACAGGGGGAGCUGGAGGCAGAGGAGGAAGAGAGGCAGGCGCCCCACCAAGCAAGGAUCUCAGGGCAGUGCUCCAUCCCAGGACUCUAGAAUCAUGGCAGGAGCCGAAGGCAGGCACUUAACUGACUGAGCCACCCAGGCGCCCAAAGGGGGAGAUGCUCUGAGCCCGGAUGUCAGUCACCUUCUGCGUGUAAAACCCCGGGGUGAAAGGAGAGCCUGCAGGAACCAUCUGGAAGGCUGAGCACAAGGCUGGCCCCGAGUCACCUCUCAACACCAGUGUCCGUGAUGACGACUUGCUUGGUCACGCUACCCCAGGCAGCUCAGAAGAUUCCGAACACAGUGGGGAGAGGGCACCUGAGAGUGCAAAGGCUACACGCCAUCUUUGGCACAGACUUGGAGACUAAGCUUAUCUGGUCUUAUCCGCACCAUCAUCCUCGCCACCACCACCAUCACGACCACAAGGACAGCAGAGACAUGAACGCUGACUGGAGCAUUUGCUGUUUCAGUCCCCUUUGGCCUAGGGAAUGGCAAACAGGCUUUUGAAAAAGUUACCGUGGGAUGAGCAUGGUUUGGGGUUCUAAAUCCCAAAGUAUCUGAGCCCCUGGAGCCCCUGAAUUCUCAAGUUCCAUCAAGGGGCCACGAGUGGUGCAUGUUUGGUGACCAUCACUGGUUUUGCAGAUGAUAAAAUGGUGGCCAUUCAGCGUAUCCUAGUCUUCCUGCGGCAGUCCUCGGCCUUAAUUGGCAGCUGUUCUUCUGACAGUGCCAGCUUGGGGGAGGGGUGGGCGAGGCUCCCUGCUCUGUGCUCCCACAACAUCCGGGACCUCCCCCAUCUCCACCCUGCCUUGUGGUUGCCCCUUGCUGAUGUCAAUGCUUAGAAGGCUGUGAGUUGCUCUGUGGAGGCAAAGUCUUACUCACCAUUGUCACCCCUGGAUCUAGCACAACACCUGACAACAGAAGAGGUUGCCCAUUAAAUAUUUGUUCAAUAAAUGAAUGAGUAAUGCCUCCCUUUAUUAUUAUUAUUAUUAUUGCACAUAGCAAUUAAAAACAAGCGUAAACAGUAUGUGGGAACUUAGGAAAAUAAUUAUGUGACAACAUUAAGUGAUAAGUUAAAUUCGUUUUGGUCUCACCUGGAAAAUGGGGCAAUUAACAUCUCUUGUAUUAGUUUUGUUCUGUUCUCACUCAAGUGAGACAGAAUAAGUAAAAUGCUUAACACAGUGCCCUCCAUGAGCAUGUAUUUGAUAAACGGUAGUGUUUUUGUUAUCAUUUAUGAUAAUUGUAAGUGAAAGAAAAAAAAAAAACAGAAUGAAAAUAUUUAGGCUGAUUUUAACUAAUCAAGCAACAGGGGCACCUGGGUGGCUCAGAGGGUUAA